RNAcentral lists this unclassified non-coding RNA (167 nucleotides) under plant metagenome. Its description in RNAcentral is "partial contains small subunit ribosomal RNA and internal transcribed spacer 1". The stretch from base 1 to 46 matches the Rfam family "Eukaryotic small subunit ribosomal RNA", at positions 1786 to 1831 of the family's 1831-position model. The record is from RNAcentral.
AAGUCGUAACAAGGUUUCCGUAGGUGAACCUGCGGAAGGAUCAUUAGUGAUUGCCCUAGUGGCUUAAAACUAUAUCCAUUUUACACCUGUGAACCGUUUGAUUGACACUCUGUGUUGAUUUUACAAACAAUAUGUAAAGAAAGUCAAGUUAUUAUAACAAAAGAUAA